AGUAAGGAUAGAGGUGCAAUGACAUGAGUACGUCCGGCUGAGGAGAAUGAGCUCCUGCGAAGCGGACGGAAAGGGGAAAUUGCCGAAGCGAACGGGAGCUCAUAUCCCCGAUGCUGGUUCUGCUGCUGAACAAGUACAGGACUGUCAUAUAGGAAACUAUAUGGAGGGCUAUCUUACGC
Molecule: non-coding RNA, 179 nt
Filed under: Halobacillus karajensis
Lineage: Bacteria; Bacillati; Bacillota; Bacilli; Caryophanales; Bacillaceae
Description: Lysine sequence
Rfam family: Lysine riboswitch aptamer
About the family: Riboswitches are metabolite binding domains within certain messenger RNAs that serve as precision sensors for their corresponding targets. Allosteric rearrangement of mRNA structure is mediated by ligand binding, and this results in modulation of gene expression. This family includes riboswitches that sense lysine in a number of genes involved in lysine metabolism, including lysC.
Source: Rfam by way of RNAcentral